RNAcentral lists this ribosomal RNA (464 nucleotides) under uncultured bacterium. Its description in RNAcentral is "partial 16S ribosomal RNA". It matches the Rfam family "Bacterial small subunit ribosomal RNA", at positions 29 to 507 of the family's 1533-position model. The record is from RNAcentral.
ACGAACGCUGGCGGCGUGCUUAACACAUGCAAGUCGAACGGAAAGGCCCCUUUGGGGGUACUCGAGUGGCGAACGGGUGAGUAACACGUGAGUAACCUGCCCUUGACUUCGGGAUAACUUCAGGAAACUGGGGCUAAUACCGGAUAGGAAUCCUUGCUGCAUGGUGGGGGUUGGAAAGCUUCGGCGGUUUUGGAUGGACUCGCGGCUUAUCAGCUUGUUGGUGGGGUUGUGGCUUACCAAGGCUUUGACGGGUAGCCGGCCUGAGAGGGCGACCGGCCACAUUGGGACUGAGAUACGGCCCAGACUCCUACGGGAGGCAGCAGUGGGGAAUAUUGCACAAUGGGCGGAAGCCUGAUGCAGCAACGCCGCGUGCGGGAUGACGGCCUUCGGGUUGUAAACCGCUUUCAGCAGGGGCGAAGCUUGUGGUGACGGUACCUGCAGAAGAAGCACCGGCUAACUACGUG